This 622-nucleotide ribosomal RNA is filed under the name Trichoderma sp. 3 DoF17. Its description in RNAcentral is "eukaryotic LSU rRNA". The stretch from base 233 to 386 matches the Rfam family "5.8S ribosomal RNA". Lineage: Eukaryota; Fungi; Ascomycota; Sordariomycetes; Hypocreales; Hypocreaceae. The record is from RNAcentral.
UUCCGUAGGGUGAACCUGCGGAGGGAUCAUUACCGAGUUUACAACUCCCAAACCCAAUGUGAACGUUACCAAACUGUUGCCUCGGCGGGAUCUCUGCCCCGGGUGCGUCGCAGCCCCGGACCAAGGCGCCCGCCGGAGGACCAACCAAAACUCUUUUUGUAUACCCCCUCGCGGGUUUUUUAUAAUCUGAGCCUUCUCGGCGCCUCUCGUAGGCGUUUCGAAAAUGAAUCAAAACUUUCAACAACGGAUCUCUUGGUUCUGGCAUCGAUGAAGAACGCAGCGAAAUGCGAUAAGUAAUGUGAAUUGCAGAAUUCAGUGAAUCAUCGAAUCUUUGAACGCACAUUGCGCCCGCCAGUAUUCUGGCGGGCAUGCCUGUCCGAGCGUCAUUUCAACCCUCGAACCCCUCCGGGGGGUCGGCGUUGGGGAUCGGCCCUGCCUCUUGGCGGUGGCCGUCUCCGAAAUACAGUGGCGGUCUCGCCGCAGCCUCUCCUGCGCAGUAGUUUGCACACUCGCAUCGGGAGCGCGGCGCGUCCACAGCCGUUAAACACCCAACUUCUGAAAUGUUGACCUCGGAUCAGGUAGGAAUACCCGCUGAACUUAAGCAUAUCAAUAAGCGGAGGAA